GAUAGAGAGCAAUUGCCUAAAUCAAUUAUCAAGGGUUAUAGUGAUAUGUUGUUGAACGUGAUGAAAAGGUAUGUAUAUUUGGUAGUUUUUAUAGAUUCUAAUUACAAUUUUCAAGCAAUCAAAUAUACUUAUUCAAAUCAGAACAAUAAAUACCGAAGGAAUAAAGGGGAUUUGUUACAUCACCUAUAGAUGAUUUAGGUAUUUAAUCAUCACCUUCAUCAGCCAUCGUACCAACAAUCAAAACCAUAUCCAUCAACAAAGGAAACCACCACCACUCUUAUCCAUCCAUCUUCCCUAACUAGCAGCCUUCACACCACACACCACUCACCUAUUUACCAUUGGACAAGUUACCGCCUCACACCACUCCCCCUCAUUCUGCCAUUAACCAUAACGCGUAACACCACUCACACUCAACAUCACCCUCACCACCACUCACACUAAACAUCCUUAUCAUAUCUCACUCUCAAGAGAAAGACCCUGAUUGAAUGGUAGGUGGCUAAAAAUAGUUAAAUCGACUUCAAAAAAGAUUAAAAUUGGCCAAUUUUAGUCUAAACUUCUGGUGUUGUCACUGAGAACUCUAUCUAUCUCUCACUCUCAAUGCAUCUAUACUUCUCUCUAUUUGCUAUGAGUUAAUGCCUUCUAGAUACCGCUUCCUUUUAUUUUGUUUAAACUGAAAGAUGGAAAAUUUGAAGGUGUUUUCCAAUGUAUUUUUAUCUUAGGUACCAUUUCGUAGGGUUUCUACCAUCCCAAGCCAACCACGAGCUCAAAUCAUCUAGGGUUUGUUUUUAUGACUAUUUCAAGUGUUGGAGCGGAAAUGAUUAUGUUUCAAACAAAUGGAUCAUGGUGCGAAAUGGGAUAACUGGAUAAGGAAGCUUCAUAUCCUUCUAAUCAUUUUAAUGAUCUUAAAGAGAUGUUUGUUUCAUCUCCUAAGGAAACAUGUGAACUCUCUAAAUAAAUCUUCUACAAAGUUGAAUAGUAAAUGUUCUUGAUUUAUUCUAGAGAUCUUUUUAUCUUUAUACAAUUUAAAUGCCUUGCUAAUGUUACAAAUAUUUUUGUUGUUAUUGGUAUACACUAGACUAAUUGAAAACAAGAAGAGACAGAAGCAAUGCUAGCCAAUAAGUUGGGGACCUCUGGAUGAU
Molecule: non-coding RNA, 1139 nt
Organism: Lactuca sativa (garden lettuce)
Lineage: Eukaryota; Viridiplantae; Streptophyta; Magnoliopsida; Asterales; Asteraceae
Source: RefSeq, a predicted model, not a curated record